GAUGAACGCUGACAGAAUGCUUAACACAUGCAAGUCUACUUGAAUUUGGGUUUUUUAACUUAGAUUUGGGUGGCGGACGGGUGAGUAACGCGUAAAGAACUUGCCUCACAGCUAGGGACAACAUUUGGAAACGAAUGCUAAUACCUGAUAUUAUGAUUAUAAGGCAUCUUAGAAUUAUGAAAGCUAUAUGCGCUGUGAGAGAGCUUUGCGUCCCAUUAGCUAGUUGGAGAGGUAACGGCUCACCAAGGCGAUGAUGGGUAGCCGGCCUGAGAGGGUGAACGGCCACAAGGGGACUGAGACACGGCCCUUACUCCUACGGGAGGCAGCAGUGGGGAAUAUUGGACAAUGGACCAAGAGUCUGAUCCAGCAAUUCUGUGUGCACGAUGACGUUUUUCGGAAUGUAAAGUGCUUUCAGUUGGGAAGAAAAAAAUGACGGUACCAACAGAAGAAGUGACGG
Molecule: ribosomal RNA, 457 nt
Filed under: Fusobacterium sp. oral taxon 203
Lineage: Bacteria; Fusobacteriati; Fusobacteriota; Fusobacteriia; Fusobacteriales; Fusobacteriaceae
Description: bacterial SSU rRNA
Rfam family: Bacterial small subunit ribosomal RNA
Source: RNAcentral